CGUCUAUAUACGUAUAGCAUAUCAAUAAGCGGAGGAAAAGAAACUAACAAGGAUUCCCUUAGUAACGGCGAGUGAAGCGGGAAGAGCUCAAAUUUGAAAUCUUCAAGGUUCUACCUUGACGAAUUGUAGUUUAAAGAAGUGUUUUCUGUUAGAGGAGUAGGCAAAAGUUCCUUGGAAUAGGGACAUCAUAGAGGGUGAGAAUCCCGUAUUUGGUUAUUCUUUCUAGCUGUGUGAUACACUUUCAAAGAGUCGGAUUGUUUGGGAAUGCAGUCCAAAAUGGGUGGUAAAUUUCAUCUAAAGCUAAAUAUUGGCGAGAGACCGAUAGCGAACAAGUACCGUGAGGGAAAGAUGAAAAGAACUUUGAAAAGAGAGUUAAACAGUACGUGAAAUUGUCAAAAGGGAAGCGUUUGACACCAGUGUUGUUUUUCCGAAAAUCAAUUGUGCCUGGCUGGAUUUUGUAGGAGUUUGACCUUAUCAGCUUCUUCUGCUUUUUUCCUGUCCUGGUGCAAUGCACUUUUCGGUUAACAAGUCAACAUCAAUUUCUUUUGUUGUAAAAGGGUAAUUUGGAAGGUGGCUUUCUUUUCGGAGAAAGUGUUUAUAGCCUUAUACCUCUACAAUCGGAGAGAUUGAGGUCUGCAGCGUAGAUCCUUCGGGGCUAGAUACACUUGUGCUAAGUUAUAGCGGUUCAUAGACAACUUGUUGACUAUAGUUAGGUCGUCAUGUAGCUUACUCGCUUGUGCUAUUUUACCUACGCUUAGGAUGUUGAGUCAUCACACAUCUCU
Molecule: ribosomal RNA, 782 nt
Filed under: uncultured Neocallimastigales
Lineage: Eukaryota; Fungi; Neocallimastigomycota; Neocallimastigomycetes; Neocallimastigales
Description: partial large subunit ribosomal RNA
Rfam family: Eukaryotic large subunit ribosomal RNA
Source: RNAcentral